This 464-nucleotide ribosomal RNA is filed under the name Vreelandella stevensii. RNAcentral's name for it is "partial 16S ribosomal RNA". It matches the Rfam family "Bacterial small subunit ribosomal RNA", at positions 338 to 794 of the family's 1533-position model. Lineage: Bacteria; Pseudomonadati; Pseudomonadota; Gammaproteobacteria; Oceanospirillales; Halomonadaceae. The record is from RNAcentral.
CCUACGGGUGGCAGCAGUGGGGAAUAUUGGACAAUGGGCGAAAGCCUGAUCCAGCCAUGCCGCGUGUGUGAAGAAGGCCUUCGGGUUGUAAAGCACUUUCAGUGGGGAAGAAAGCCUUGGGGCUAAUACCCUCGAGGAAGGACAUCACCCACAGAAGAAGCACCGGCUAACUCCGUGCCAGCAGCCGCGGUAAUACGGAGGGUGCGAGCGUUAAUCGGAAUUACUGGGCGUAAAGCGCGCGUAGGCGGUCUGAUAAGCCGGUUGUGAAAGCCCCGGGCUCAACCUGGGAACGGCAUCCGGAACUGUCAGGCUAGAGUGCAGGAGAGGAAGGUAGAAUUCCCGGUGUAGCGGUGAAAUGCGUAGAGAUCGGGAGGAAUACCAGUGGCGAAGGCGGCCUUCUGGACUGACACUGACGCUGAGGUGCGAAAGCGUGGGUAGCAAACAGGAUUAGAUCCCCCGGUAGU